This 305-nucleotide ribosomal RNA is filed under the name uncultured bacterium. Its description in RNAcentral is "bacterial SSU rRNA". It matches the Rfam family "Bacterial small subunit ribosomal RNA", at positions 334 to 657 of the family's 1533-position model. The record is from RNAcentral.
GACCUACGGGAGGCAGCAGUGGGGAAUAUUGCACAAUGGGGGAAACCCUGAUGCAGCGACGCCGCGUGAGCGAAGAAGUAUUUCGGUAUGUAAAGCUCUAUCAGCAGGGAAGAAAAAUGACGGUACCUGAGUAAGAAGCACCGGCUAAAUACGUGCCAGCAGCCGCGGUAAUACGUAUGGUGCAAGCGUUAUCCGGAUUUACUGGGUGUAAAGGGAGCGUAGACGGUGCAGCAAGUCUGAUGUGAAAGGUCGGGGCCCAACCCCGGGACUGCAUUGGAAACUGUUGAACUGGAGUACAGGAGAGG